Molecule: ribosomal RNA, 777 nt
Filed under: Acusta despecta
Lineage: Eukaryota; Metazoa; Mollusca; Gastropoda; Stylommatophora; Camaenidae
Description: partial large subunit ribosomal RNA
Source: RNAcentral
CGAACUAGUUUGAGCUAAAUAGCCCGGGCUUUUAGGCCAAUGAUGUGCGUUAUAUAGUGCAAUUUAAAGGGCUACUUAGGGGUGAAAGGCUUCCCAAAAACUAAGAUAUCUUGAUAUCAUAAAAAUGUAUUUAGUACUUCAGGCAAAUAUAGAGUGGUUAGGCUUUAUAUACUUAUAAUGUUUAUUUUAUAGAAAUAAUGGUAUAACCAUCUAUUACUUUCUAAGGCUAUUAUUCUAAUUUUAAUUAUGUAUCUUAUAUGUGAUACUGUAUAAAUUUAAAUUAACAUUGAUAAUGUUCUCAUAAGUACUUUUUUAAGACCAUGAUAAUGAACUCGGCAAGAUUUUCUUCAACUGUUUAUCAAAAACAUAACUAUAUGAGGGUAUAUGUAGCUAUUUCUGCUCAAUGUUUCUAUAAAUAGCCGCAGUACUUUGACUGUGCAAAGGUAGCAUAAUCAAUUGACUUAUAAUUGAAGUCUAGAAUGAAAGAAUCUAUGGGGAAAUACUGUUUCAUUUUGGUGGUAGGAAAUUAUUUAUUAGGUGAAAAAACCUAUAGAUAAAAAAUAGACGAGAAGACCCUUGAAAUUUUAAUUAAAAAGUUAAAAAAUAUCUUUUUGUUGGGGCGACAAAGUAGCAAUAGAAAACCUACUUAGAGAAUAUGUAUUAUUUAUAAAGGUUAAAUAAAUUACUCUAGGGAUAACAGCAUAAUAUUUUAAAGUUUGUGACCUCGAUGUUGGACUAGGAAAAUAUAGUUUAGAAGACUAUUAUAAAGGCUCUGUU